UACGAAGGGGGCUAGCGUUGUUCGGAAUUACUGGGCGUAAAGCGCGCGUAGGCGGUUUUUCAAGUCAGUGGUGAAAGCCCGGAGCUCAACUCCGGAAAUGCCAUUGAAACUGUAAAACUUGAGGACGAGAGAGGUGAGUGGAAUUCCCAGUGUAGAGGUGAAAUUCGUAGAUAUUGGGAAGAACACCGGUGGCGAAGGCGGCUCACUGGCUCGUUUCUGACGCUCAGGCGCGAUAGCGUGGGGAUCAAACAGG
Molecule: ribosomal RNA, 253 nt
Filed under: uncultured bacterium
Lineage: Bacteria
Description: partial 16S ribosomal RNA
Rfam family: Bacterial small subunit ribosomal RNA
Source: RNAcentral